This 460-nucleotide ribosomal RNA is filed under the name uncultured bacterium. RNAcentral's name for it is "partial 16S ribosomal RNA". It matches the Rfam family "Bacterial small subunit ribosomal RNA", at positions 338 to 795 of the family's 1533-position model. The record is from RNAcentral.
CCUACGGGUGGCAGCAGUGAGGAAUAUUGGUCAAUGGACGAGAGUCUGAACCAGCCAAGUAGCGUGAAGGAUGACUGCCCUAUGGGUUGUAAACUUCUUUUAUAUGGGAAUAAAAUGUUCCACGUGUGGGAUUUUGUAUGUACCAUAUGAAUAAGGAUCGGCUAACUCCGUGCCAGCAGCCGCGGUAAUACGGAGGAUCCGAGCGUUAUCCGGAUUUAUUGGGUUUAAAGGGAGCGUAGGUGGAUUGUUAAGUCAGUUGUGAAAGUUUGCGGCUCAACCGUAAAAUUGCAGUUGAAACUGGCAGUCUUGAGUACAGUAGAGGUGGGCGGAAUUCGUGGUGUAGCGGUGAAAUGCUUAGAUAACACGAAGAACUCCGAUUGCGAAGGCAGUUCACUGGACUGCAACUGACACUGAGGCUCGAAAGUGUGGGUAUCAAACAGGAUUAGAUACCCGUGUAGUC